This 266-nucleotide ribosomal RNA is filed under the name uncultured Staphylococcus sp. RNAcentral's name for it is "partial 16S ribosomal RNA". It matches the Rfam family "Bacterial small subunit ribosomal RNA", at positions 96 to 355 of the family's 1533-position model. Lineage: Bacteria; Bacillati; Bacillota; Bacilli; Caryophanales; Staphylococcaceae. The record is from RNAcentral.
CGGCGGACGGGUGAGUAACACGUGGAUAACCUACCUAUAAGACUGGGAUAACUUCGGGAAACCGGAGCUAAUACCGGAUAAUAUAUUGAACCGCAUGGUUCAAUAGUGAAAGACGGUUUUGCUGUCACUUAUAGAUGGAUCCGCGCUGCAUUAGCUAGUUGGUAAGGUAACGGCUUACCAAGGCAACGAUGCGUAGCCGACCUGAGAGGGUGAUCGGCCACACUGGAACUGAGACACGGUCCAGACUCCUACGGGAGGCAACAGCC